GACGUAGGGCGCGAGCGUUGUCCGGAGUUAUUGGGCGUAAAGAGCUCGUAGGCGGUUUGUCGCGUCGUCCGUGAAAACUCACAGCUUAACUGUGAGCUUGCGGUCGAUACGGGCAGGCUAGAGUUCGGUAGGGGAGACUGGAAUUCCUGGUGUAGCGGUGAAAUGCGCAGAUAUCAGGAGGAACACCGGUGGCGAAGGCGGGUCUCUGGGCCGAUACUGACGCUGAGGAGCGAAAGCGUGGGGAGCGAACAGG
This 253-nucleotide ribosomal RNA is filed under the name uncultured bacterium. RNAcentral describes it as "partial 16S ribosomal RNA". It matches the Rfam family "Bacterial small subunit ribosomal RNA", at positions 524 to 776 of the family's 1533-position model. The record is from RNAcentral.